This 173-nucleotide non-coding RNA is filed under the name Cupriavidus basilensis. RNAcentral's name for it is "Burkholderia RNA 14". It matches the Rfam family "Burkholderia RNA 14". Rfam says of the family: Co-purified with Hfq, expression confirmed by Northern blot. Putative functional homologue of PA-SraF. The record is from Rfam by way of RNAcentral. Lineage: Bacteria; Pseudomonadati; Pseudomonadota; Betaproteobacteria; Burkholderiales; Burkholderiaceae.
GUGGGUGUCGUUACCGUCACGCCUACGACCGUUUCUGUUAUCAAUGAACUGCCGGGCCGCCUCGAAGGCGUGCGCACCGCCGAAGUACGGGCGCGGGUUUCCGGCAUCGUGCUGUCCCGCAACUACACGGAAGGCGGCGAGGUCAAGGCAGGCCAGUUGCUGUUCAAGAUCGA